This is a non-coding RNA of Drosophila virilis, 557 nucleotides long. NCBI's taxonomy places the organism in Eukaryota, Metazoa, Arthropoda, Insecta, Diptera, Drosophilidae. The record is from RefSeq and is a predicted model, not a curated record.
AUGUAUUAACAUUUCUGAGCACAAAUGCAAAAUACAUUAUAUUUUCAUUUGAAACUUAUGUCAAAAUGAUUUUAAAAAACCUUUACUAAUUGCUGGCAAGCCGUGCAUACAAACCGCCUAAUAAAUAUGCUUUAAGAGAGUUCUUGGAAGUAAAAAGGUGAGGGGUAAUUGCACCGUCAAGUAGCUGUUACUCACAACUUCUGAAUUAAUACUGCCUGAGCUGUUGAGCCAACUAAAGAAAAUGAAGAAUCCUUCUGCCAUUACCACCAAACGCACCAGACGUCGGGCAGGACUACAAAGCAGUGCAACAUGUUUGAAAGCUGACAGGGUAACCCUUACUGGAGCUGGCGAUGCAACCUUUGAGUUGAGUUGAGUCGUAAAGAGGAAAGCAGGUGGCAAACGGUUGAGGUAAGGUGUCAGUUGCAAUGGCACGGCCAAACCCUGGUAAUUAACAAUGGCAUACUAACCCCUUGCUUGUGCUAUAUCGAAAUGAUUGCCGCAGUGAGCCGCAUAUGUGUAUCGAUUACACUAAAUAAAGAAGCAUAACAAACAUAAAA